GUUGCCUGGGAAACGGAGGGGGCCCCCGCCACAGGACGUGGGGCAGAAAGCCAGGGCCCGGGGUCGACACGAUGACGGUCGGUCGGGAGCAGCCCGGGCGGUGGUCGCCGUGGAGGUGGCUGGGUCUCCGUGCUCCGCGCGCUCAGCGCCAGCCGCACGGGGGUCUCCGCGGGCCCUGCCGUCAGUGAGGCCCUCGCCAGCAAGGCUGCCUCUGGGCGUUGGUGGGGGCCUCGGGCCAGGCCCGAGUCCCAGGACCCAGGGAGGGGAGUCCACAGUCGGUCACGGGCCAGGCGCUCAAAUGCCGUUAGAGAGAAAUCCAGUUCCCGUGGGCCCUAGACUUCUCGUGGGACCGCGUUCUUCAGACCACACCCCGAGCCAAGGACGCACGGCAAACGAUUUCUUAAGAAGCCAGUGCUCCCGGAGACGGGGAGGCGGGCCGUGGCCGGGGAGCACGGCCCAGCCCCGCCUGAGCCCGAGGGAGCCCCGGGGGUGAGGGGUACCGUCUCCGGGCCCACCUCCCAGGGCUCCCACGCCCCAGGGCCCCCAGGUUCAAGGACCGAACACCACUGGUGCCUCGUCCCCAUCGGCCACGGAGGCGGUAAAGGAAGGAAUGUUGCUGCCGAGCCCCCGUCUGUGCUACUCUGGUGUAGCGGCCCGUCCUGGCCAGCGCUCGUGCUCAGCCCUUAGUCCGUUCAACACCGUCCUGGCGCACGGCCUGGGUGCGGUGGCCACAGAGCUCCCGGCUCUGGCCACACGGCACGGGUGGGACACGCCCGGUCCUGCCCGCCGGGAGUCCUCCGUCCUACCCUCAGCCUCCUCGCUUCCCAAGACGGAGACGUCCACACCACGGCCCCUACCAACAGCACCACAUCCGUGUCCUGGGGUAAAUACCGGCCGGGGCCACCUCCGCCAGGGCGCCAGCUCGCUCCCGCAGGCACAUCCCGUACUCACUACUCUUCAAGAACAUUUCUGGAACCUCACCACUGCUCCCCACCCCUGCCACGGCCCCAGGCCCAGCCGCCUCCCCCGGCCAAAUCAGUAGUGCCCUCACUGGGCUCCAGCCCCCCUCCUGUUCAAUCAACUCUGCCCUCGGCAGCCAGAGCGACCCUCACAGUGGAGUCCGACCCUCAUGCCUCCGCACUCGGGUGUAGAAUAAAAUCCACAUUCCUCAGAGCUUCACCGGAGCCUGCGGAUCAGGCCCUGCCCGUGCCUCCAAAAGCACCACAAAGCAUCCACCACGCACCGUGUCAGCCCCAUGGGUCUUCUUGUGUUCAAACAUGCUGAGCUCCUACCGCCCCAGGGCCUUUGCACUUGCUGUUUCCCCCGCCGGUGUCCUUCUCUAGACUUUUGCAAGCUGCCCUCCCUCUCUUCAGUCUUUGUUCAACUAUCACAUUCUAAGAGAGAGCUUCCCAGAUCUGGAGUGGCUCCCACCACCCCCCCAUUCCUGCCCUGCUUUUUUGUUCAUCACGCUCAAUGUCUGAAAGUCUAUUCCAUUCUAUUGUCUUCUCUUCCUUUCCUGUCCCUCUUUUUUCCCUUUCACAUUACUCUUCCCUAUCUGAGCGGAGCCUGUGCACCCCCCGCCUGCCUCCCCUCCACCAAGACGUCACCCCCAGCAAGCACAGCCUGUCUGCACCGGCAGCUGAAUCCCGCCGGGCCAGGGAAGGUGCCCGGCACUAGCCGGAGAUCUCUUGGCAUUGGCGAACCAAAGGCAUGUUCAGGAGGAACCAUAGCUCAUCUGGGCUUUGCUAAGAACGACGGAGCCCACGGCCCAGCAGAACUGCCCCAGAGGCAUGGCUGACAGGAGCACCCAUUGGAGACGAGGGACAGAAAAAGGGAGACUCGUUUAGACAGCGUGAUACCCUGGAAACUUCCAUGUGGUUCUCCGGACCUACUCACCGUUCUCCAACCUGCUCUGGACCCCCAGCGGCUGACCUGCAUGGACCACACAAGCGACCCCCAUGUCCUUGGCCGGUGUGAAGGGUGGCCCCACCCCAGCUGGACAACUGGACAACACUGAGGCAGUUUGGGCUUGAAAAAUCACAGACCCCGGGGGCCCUAACAUACUUCCUAAGCCGCUGAUUCCAAACAGUUGGUUAGCAGGCAGUUUCCGGCUAAUUUGCAAAUACUUCAGAUGUUAAUCCCAUUUUUUCCACUAGGAAUAAGCGAGCUUUUAAAUUA
Neofelis nebulosa (Clouded leopard) is the source of this 2178-nucleotide long non-coding RNA. RefSeq lists it as uncharacterized. The record is from RefSeq and is a predicted model, not a curated record. NCBI's taxonomy places the organism in Eukaryota, Metazoa, Chordata, Mammalia, Carnivora, Felidae. The transcript has 2 exons.